This is a small nuclear RNA of Zingiber officinale, 195 nucleotides long. RefSeq annotates it as U2 spliceosomal RNA. The record is from RefSeq and is a predicted model, not a curated record. Lineage: Eukaryota; Viridiplantae; Streptophyta; Magnoliopsida; Zingiberales; Zingiberaceae. The transcript has a single exon.
AUACGUUUCUCGACCUUUUGAAUAAGAUCAAGUGUAGUAUAUGUUCUUAUCAAUUUAAUAUCUAAUAUAAAAAAUUAAAUUAUUUUUAUUUUAAGUAUCAUCAUUACGUUGCACUUAGGGGUGACAAUUCGGGUCGGGUUCGGGUUGGCGGAUUGACGGGUUGGAACAUCAAAACCUGAAUCCGACCUAAUUAAU